Molecule: small nuclear RNA, 103 nt
Organism: Otolemur garnettii (small-eared galago)
Lineage: Eukaryota; Metazoa; Chordata; Mammalia; Primates; Galagidae
Source: Ensembl
UUGCUACAGCAGUAUCUAAACUAAACCUAGAAUGAUACAGAGAAGAUUAGUAUGGCCCCUGUGCAAGGAUGACAUGCAAAUUAAUGAGCCAUUGCAUAUUUUU